UCUACCUAGUAGUAUAGGAUAGCCACUAGAAGUGGUGGGUAAUACUGUAUAAUCCCUGCGGGGGAAAGAUUUAUCGCUACAUGAUGAGCCUAUGUUAGAUUAGCUAGUUGGUGGGGUAAAGGCCUACCAAGGCAGUGAUCUAUAGCUGGUCUGAGAGGAUGAUCAGCCACACUGGAACUGAGACACGGUCCAGACUCCUACGGGAGGCAGCAGUGGGGAAUAUUGGACAAUGGGCGCAAGCCUGAUCCAGCUAUGCCGCGUGAGUGAGGAAGGCCUUAGGGUUGUAAAACUCUUUCAGUGGGGAAGAUGAUGACGGUACCCACAGAAGAAGUCCCGGCAAACUCCGUGCCAGCAGCCGCGGUAAUACGGAGGGGGCAAGCGUUGUUCGGAAUUAUUGGGCGUAAAGGGCAUGUAGGUGGUUUGGUUAGUUAAAGGUGAAAUGCCAGGGCU
RNAcentral lists this ribosomal RNA (450 nucleotides) under uncultured Anaplasma sp. RNAcentral's name for it is "bacterial SSU rRNA". It matches the Rfam family "Bacterial small subunit ribosomal RNA", at positions 125 to 609 of the family's 1533-position model. The record is from RNAcentral. Lineage: Bacteria; Pseudomonadati; Pseudomonadota; Alphaproteobacteria; Rickettsiales; Anaplasmataceae.